This 393-nucleotide ribosomal RNA is filed under the name uncultured Glomeromycotina. RNAcentral describes it as "SSU rRNA". It matches the Rfam family "Eukaryotic small subunit ribosomal RNA", at positions 569 to 968 of the family's 1831-position model. The record is from RNAcentral. Lineage: Eukaryota; Fungi; Glomeromycota.
AGCAGCCGCGGUAAUUCCAGCUCCAAUAGCGUAUAUUAAAGUUGUUGCAGUUAAAAAGCUCGUAGUUGAAUUUCGAGACCGGUUUACUGGUCGUGCUUUUGUACGUACUGGUAUUAUUGGUUUCUCCUUUCUGACGAAUCUUAAUGCCAUUAAUUUGGUGUUUUGGGGAAUCAGGACUGUUACUUUGAAAAAAUUAGAGUGUUUAAAGCAGGCUCACGCUUGAAUACAUUAGCAUGGAAUAACGGAAUAGGACGUUUGAUUCUAUUUUGUUGGUUUCUAGGAUCGACGUAAUGAUUAAUAGGAUAGUUGGGGGCAUUAGUAUUCAAUUGUCAGAGGUGAAAUUCUUGGAUUUAUUGAAGACUAACUACUGCGAAAGCAUUUGCCAAGGAUGUU